RNAcentral lists this ribosomal RNA (198 nucleotides) under uncultured bacterium. Its description in RNAcentral is "partial 16S ribosomal RNA". It matches the Rfam family "Bacterial small subunit ribosomal RNA", at positions 328 to 539 of the family's 1533-position model. The record is from RNAcentral.
ACGCUCGACACCUACGGGGGGCAGCAGUGGGGAAUAUUGCACAAUGGGGGAAACCCGUGAUGCAGCGACGCCGCGUGGAGGAAGAAGGUCUUCGGAUUGUAAACUCCUGUUGUUGGGGAAAAGAGGAUGGUACCCAACAAGGAAGUGACGGCUAACUACGUGCCAGCAGCCGUGGUAAUCUGAGCGGGCUGGCAAGGC